UUAGGUUUAACAAAAGUGAUAUGCAUAUAUACACACACGUGAUUUUUCAAAAGAUGAGUCUCCAACAUGUUUAGGUUGGGUGCGCACACCAAGUCUGAGAAUAAAUAGGAAUUUUUCCCAUUAGAUUAUGUAUGUUAUCAUCUUCUUGUUCAUCGAGCAGUAGCAAACCACUCUCCCACAUUCUCCUCGUGUUCUAUCGUGCUCUCGAGUAUAUGAGGAUGUUCCAUGUUUAAUUUCCUUCCAUUCAUAUUCAAGCAUCUAUUGCGGGAUAAUGUGUUUGUGGCACCCGCGCUAGCUUGUUUGAGAAGACAUGUAGAGACUGAUGACGUGAUGUAGUUGAAGUAGUAGCAAUGCGGUCCUCGUGAAGACUCGAAAACCACUAUGGAUACUAUGCGAUUGUGCAUGUAAGAGUAACAUUUCUCUAGUAGUAGAGCUCCAAAGCCUCCACAUGCAAUCGGAUCAUUGGUUCAUGUCGGAAAUUGAGCCACAUAUAUAUAUUUCUCUAUAUAAAUGUUCACAAUGGGAUAUCAUCGUCGUGUAAUUUUCGAGAGAGUUAUAUUAUGGCUCUUUUGUUUUUGUUUUUUAAGAUCAUAUAAUUAUGGAUUAUGCAAUUGCCGAUUAGAGUGUAAAUAUUUUUCAUUUUUGUCUUUCUUUCAACGUGGUCAAUGAAAUAUUUUAUAAAUUAAGAUAUAUAUAUAUAUAUAUAUAUAUAUAUAGAGAGAGAGAGAGAGAGAGAGAGAGAGAGAGAGAGAGAGAG
Rosa chinensis is the source of this 757-nucleotide long non-coding RNA. RefSeq lists it as uncharacterized. The transcript has 2 exons. Lineage: Eukaryota; Viridiplantae; Streptophyta; Magnoliopsida; Rosales; Rosaceae. The record is from RefSeq and is a predicted model, not a curated record.